CAGCUAUCAUAAGGCAGAGAAAGAAAGAGCUAUUAGGUUCUUUGCAAAGACUGUUCUAUCUUCUUUGUUAUAACUGCUAUUACCAGAUUUUAAAUUACUAUAAAUAACAGAAAAUUACCAUGAACCUUGAAUUCAUAUUUUUUGGGGCAAUGUGUUUGCAACCAUUUUUUUUUCUGGAAGAUUUUAAUAGAGGACACUUUGCCAUAAAGAUUACAGACAUUGCUGGAAAAUACCACUGAAGUUCUCUAGAUAACACUAUAUGAAUGGCCACCAAAGUUAAUAUUUUGUAUAGCUGUAAGAAGAACACCUUCUCAGUAAAACCGGAACAAUGCUGUGACUCUUCUGGUGAACAAUUUCAAUCAUGUUAUUAUGACUACAUCCCAUAUUCAGUAGCCAUGUUCAGGCACAUCCUUGUUCAUCUGGACAUCAUAGAAUGACAACUGGCUCGAAUAAAGAAAAGUAAAGUCAUA
Non-coding RNA from Rattus norvegicus (Norway rat), 470 nucleotides. The record is from RefSeq and is a predicted model, not a curated record. NCBI's taxonomy places the organism in Eukaryota, Metazoa, Chordata, Mammalia, Rodentia, Muridae.